CUACGUGCCAGCAGCCGCGGUAAUACGUAGGGUGCGAGCGUUAAUCGGAAUUACUGGGCGUAAAGCGGGCGCAGACGGUUACUUAAGCAGGAUGUGAAAUCCCCGGGCUCAACCUGGGAACUGCGUUCUGAACUGGGUAACUAGAGUGUGUCAGAGGGAGGUAGAAUUCCACGUGUAGCAGUGAAAUGCGUAGAGAUGUGGAGGAAUACCGAUGGCGAAGGCAGCCUCCUGGGAUAACACUGACGUUCAUGCCCGAAAGCGUGGGUAGCAAACAGGAUUAGAUACCCUGGUAGUCCACGCUGUAAACGAUGUCGAUUUGGGGAUUGGGCUUUAAGCUUGGUGCCCGUAGCUAACGUGAUAAAUCGACCGCCUGGGGAGUACGGCCGCAAGGUUAAAACUCAAAUGAAUUGACGGGGGCCCGCACAAGCGGUGGAGCAUGUGGUUUAAUUCGAUGCAACGCGAAGAACCUUACCUACUCUUGACAUCCAUGGAAUCUUGUAGAGAUACGAGAGUGC
RNAcentral lists this ribosomal RNA (515 nucleotides) under uncultured bacterium. RNAcentral describes it as "bacterial SSU rRNA". It matches the Rfam family "Bacterial small subunit ribosomal RNA", at positions 501 to 1017 of the family's 1533-position model. The record is from RNAcentral.